AGACCCGAAACCCGGUGAUCUAGCCAUGGGCAGGUUGAAGGUUGGGUAACACUAACUGGAGGACCGAACCGACUAAUGUUGAAAAAUUAGCGGAUGACCUGUGGCUGGGGGUGAAAGGCCAAUCAAACCGGGAGAUAGCUGGUUCUCCCCGAAAGCUAUUUAGGUAGCGCCUCGUGAAUUCAUCUCCGGGGGUAGAGCACUGUUUCGGCUAGGGGGCCAUCCCGGCUUACCAACCCGAUGCAAACUGCGAAUACCGGAGAAUGUUAUCACGGGAGACACACGGCGGGUGCUAACGUCCGUCGUGAAGAGGGAAACAACCCAGACCGCCAGCUAAGGUCCCAAAGUCAUGGUUAAGUGGGAAACGAUGUGGGAAGGCCCAGACAGCCAGGAUGUUGGCUUAGAAGCAGCCAUCAUUUAAAGAAAGCGUAAUAGCUCACUGGUCGAGUCGGCCUGCGCGGAAGAUGUAACGGGGCUAAACCAUGCACCGAAGCUGCGGCAGCGAACGUAUCACUUAAAGCGAUUCAGCGGGUUACGAUUGACGGAGCGAAGCGACGUCAAAGCGUAUACAAAGUCGAGUCGGUUUAAGGAUACGUUCGUUGGGUAGGGGAGCGUUCUGUAAGCCUGUGAAGGUGGCCUGUGAGGGUUGCUGGAGGUAUCAGAAGUGCGAAUGCUGACAUAAGUAACGAUAAAGCGGGUGAAAAGCCCGCUCGCCGGAAGA
Molecule: ribosomal RNA, 718 nt
Filed under: Salmonella enterica
Lineage: Bacteria; Pseudomonadati; Pseudomonadota; Gammaproteobacteria; Enterobacterales; Enterobacteriaceae
Also listed under: 1 other name
Description: partial 23S ribosomal RNA
Rfam family: Bacterial large subunit ribosomal RNA
Source: RNAcentral